Cloeon dipterum is the source of this 1065-nucleotide long non-coding RNA. RefSeq lists it as uncharacterized. The transcript is spliced from 4 exons. The record is from RefSeq and is a predicted model, not a curated record. Lineage: Eukaryota; Metazoa; Arthropoda; Insecta; Ephemeroptera; Baetidae.
AGUAUCAAAAUUAAAAGCAAACUCGAGUUUUACUCUUGGAAAUCAAGUUCAGGGGAAAACUUGCGACGCCGCCUUGCGUUCCUAAUUUCCGCAACGCCUAAUGGGCAAUUCAAAGAAAUUAAAAGAGCAUUGGCCCAAAACCUAGAUUUUGAGACCAGCGAAAGAAUGCUGAGAGGAAAGCCGUGGAUGUCCAUAAAUGAAGCCUCGAGGCUUGACUCCGAUAUUGGCUGCAUUUUCCUUAUCUUUUUUGGCCUUGUGAGUGAAAACAAGGAGACGAAUGAGGUUUGCGUAGAAGUGGACGGUAAAGACACUACAAUAUCUGAAAUACUGCGAGAGUUUAUCGGGCCAAAAAACGACCAGUGGAUAGGAAAACCUAAAAUAUUAUUCCUUGUGAAUCAGGAAACGAGCUCGUCUGACGCCAUCGGAAAAAUGCAGUCUAACAUGGAAAUAUCUGCAACAAAUCACAGUGGAUGGUUAGUCCUAGUUUUGCACAACAAAGAUGGACUUCAAAAGCUGAUCGAAAUCUUCAAGGGCCAAGAGCUGAAAAAGGAAAAAAGUCUUCAAGAACUGCUCGCAAGUCUUCUUAUUUCCGAAUCAAAAGAAAAUAAGGAUUUUCUUAACUCGACGCUCCAGUAUCCUCUCAAUUUUCCAGACUGGCCAAAGUCUUUUGUUGAACUUAGCUUUUCAGUUACAAAUUCUCAAAAAAAUAAAGAAAAUUACGACUGCCUCGACAGCUUGGUGAAGGAAUCAGCAACAAAAAACAAUAUUUGUCUCUUGAGUUCAGUCGCAGGAACGGGAAAGACGACAAUCCUCAGGGAAAUGGCUUUUCAACUCGGGAAACUAGAUCCGGAUUUACAAAUUUUACGUAUUUCACUCCCGAGAGUUUCGUUUGGCCCUUUGAAGAGGAAAGUGACCGAGUUUGAUUUUCUCGUGAAUGCCACUCAUAUUUCGAAAGAGGAAAUCUCAAAGCAGAUAGAAAACAAGCAGUGUGUUGUGAUUCUUGAUGGGUUUGAUGAAAACCGUCGUGAAAACCAAGAAAAAGUAUUAAAAGUAAUCGAAGCUCUA